This 1256-nucleotide unclassified non-coding RNA is filed under the name Gigantopelta aegis. Its description in RNAcentral is "putative RNA-binding protein Luc7-like 1, transcript variant X3". The record is from RNAcentral. Lineage: Eukaryota; Metazoa; Mollusca; Gastropoda; Neomphalida; Peltospiridae.
GACGUCUGUGCUUGUUGAGCAGCCAUUUUGGAAGUUUGUGGAAGGCAGAUAUUUUAUGAUAGCAUUUGUUGUCCUGUUGUGAUAUUUUUCACAAUGACUGCCCACGAUCAAAUUAGGGCUAUGCUUGAUGAGCUAAUGGGCACAUCUAGAGAUGGAGAAAAAGACAGGUAUCGGGUGAAGUUUGACGACCCUCGGGUAUGUAAGAGCUUCCUGCUUGGCUGCUGUCCCCAUGAUAUCCUUGCGAGUACGAGGAUGGACUUGGGUGAGUGUUCGAGGAUCCACGACUUGGCUCUCAGGGCCGAUUAUGAGCAAGCAGCCAGAAACAAGGAUUACUUCUACGACAUUGAUGCCAUGGAGCAUCUGCUGAGUUUCAUUGGAGAGUGUGACCGCAAGACAGAGCUUGCUAAGAGACGUUUGAAGGAAACCCAAGAAGAGCUUAGUGAGGAGGCCAAUGCUAAGGCUGAAAUGAUUCACCAGCUUGGUGAACAGAUGGGUACAAAACUGGCAAAGGCUGAGCUGGCUGGGGCACAAGGAUUGGUAGAGGAAUCACUCAAGCUGAUGAAGGAAGUUGAAGAUCUCAAAGUGAAGAAAAGUCUGGCAGAGACUGAUUUUCGCAACUCCAUGCCAGCGUCUAGCUAUCAACAACAGAAACUGCGUGUUUGUGAAGUCUGUGGUGCCUAUCUUGGUAUCCAUGACAAUGAUCGGCGUUUGGCUGAUCACUUUGGUGGCAAGCUGCAUCUUGGUUUUAUCACCAUCAGAGAAAAACUGGAAGACUUGAAGCAACUAGUAGCAGAUAGAAAGAGUCAGAGAGAUAAAGAGCGUGAGGAGAUGAGAAAGGAGAGAGAUGAGCGUCUUGCUGUCCGAGAAAAGGAAGAGGAGAUUCACCGAAGCAGCAAAGCCAAGACGAGAAGUCGUAGUAGAGAAAAACGUCGCAGAAGUAGAAGUCGAAGUAGGAGGUCAAGAUCCCGGUCAAGAGACAGACGGUCAAAAAAGCACUCGAGGCGAUCUAGGUCUCGCUCUAGAAGAUCACGGUCGAGAUCAAGGCGCAGAUUAGUUCACUUAUCCUGACAUCUUAAACUUGGAACAUAAUCCUCUGAAUCAAAAGUAGGGUUGGCUGUGACGGUCGCGGUCCAGAUCUCAUUCUCGGCGAUCACGAAGUCGAAGAUCAAGAUCCCAGAGCCGGACAAAGAGGUCACGGUCACGUAGUAGAACUAAACGGUCGAGAUCGCGUGAUCGGUCCAGUCGAAAGACCAAGA